CUUUGAUUUAUUAUAGCCAUGAAAUGCUCUGCUCUCUUCUCUUUUCCUUGCUGUCCCCCGAGGUUGGAGGAACACAGGCCUCCUCAGUCCCUGGGCCUCAGCCUCACUGGACUACCAUCACUUUCCAAGGGCAGGGCACGGGGACCAGGAAUGAGAGCAAAAGACUGAUGAGCAGAACCGAGUGAGCCGGUAAUUGCGGCAUUCAGGAAGCAGAACCAGAAGACCUGUGAGUUCAAGGCCAGAAAAAAGAAAGAAUAAAAGACUCUAAACCCAAAUUGGUGAAGAGCUGGUUACAGAAAGUGUGACGGCGAGACAACUACCCAGCCAGAGCAAUAUCGGGCCACAGCAACAUGCAGCAACACGGGAGAAAGAAGCGAUACCGCAAGUUUCCUCUGUUUACUCUCUGUUACGAACAUAAAUGAUAGCCGGGCAAGGUGCCGCACGCUUGUAAACCCAGCACUCUGGGAGGCAGAGGCAAGGUGGAUCUCUGUGAGUUUGAGGCCAGCUUGGUCUACAAAACGAGUCCAGGACAGCCAAGGCUACACAGAGCAAUCCUAUCUCAAAAAAAAAAAAAAAAAAAAAAAAAAAAAUAUAUAUAUAUAUAUAUAUAUAUAUUAUACACACACACACAUAUAAUAUAAAGCCAGUCUAGGUUAUAUAGUUAAGUUCCAGGCUAUCCAGACCUGCAUAGUCUCAAUAAGUAAGUAAAUAAAUAAACGGAAGUAAACAACUAGAAUUUACUUUUAGAGAUGUUUAUAAGGAAGAGCAGACAAGACAGAACUGAAAUUCAAGGCACUUGCCCCGGACUCGAACUUGUGAGACCUUGAUUUCGAUCCCCAGUACCACAAAGAAGAGGGCGCAACUGGAGGCACAGGCCGUCAAUUCCAGCUUCUGGAGAGGAGGAGGCAGGUGGGCCGCAAGUUCAAAGCCUGCUGGGCCAUCUAGUGACACUUUGUUUCAUAUUAAAAUGCAAAAGAGCUGGUAGGUCUUUAAUCCCAGGCAGAGGCAGGUGGAUCUCUGUGACCAGGCCAGCCUGGUCUACAAAGAGCAAGGGAUAGCCAAGGCAACAUAGAGAGACCCUGUCUCAAAGCCUCCACCCCGCCCCCACACCAAAAUAAAAUAAAAUAAAAUAAAAUAAAAUAAAAUAAAAGGAUAUAGGAGCACUUGCCUGGCAUAUGUGAGAUCCUCAGGACCAGAAAGAAAAAUCAAGGGAAUAAUGAAAGUUAGGGUAGAGUCCCUUCUAGGAGGAGCUGGUGGGGAGAGCACUUUGAGCUUGGGCUCCUCUUUCCUGUCUUCUUCUUUAGCAGUGCCCUGCUCCCAGCCCUAGCGUUUCGUGUCUUGACCUGGAUAGGGAUUUCGCAGGUGUUAACGUCACAGUUGUCUCUAACUGCACAGACACACGUUGUGUACGCUGUUUUGUGAACGGUGUCCCAUAACCUGCAGAUGAACAGCUGAGCGUGGUGGCCUUGCUGCUUGUUUUUGCUUAGCUUGUCAUUACCUGGGAAUCAAACCCGUGGCCUCGUUGCAGUUGCAGUCCUUGCUGCUUAUGACACCGAGGGUCACUUGGGCCCAGGACUUUGGGAUUAACCAUAACAAGACACUAUCUCAAGAAAAUAAGUUUAAAGUUUUUUUUUUUUUUACACACAUGUAGUGUGUGUGCAUUGGUGUGGGGAGGGGAUGUGCACGUGUGCCGGGCACAUGUGUGGAGAGGAGAGGACGACCGGUGAGAAUUAGUUUUCUCCCGCCACCAUGUGGAUCCCGGGGGUCAAAGUUGGUGGCAAGCGCCUUUACCACGGCGCUGUCUCACUCGCCCUAAUCAGGAGUUGGAAAUGCUGAAAGUUAAAAAUGCAUUUAAGAGGGCCAUCAGGCAGGCUCAGCAGCCAAGGGCACUGCCCAAACCAGGUAACCUGAGUUCACCCUGGGAACCCACACUGUAGAAGAGAAUGGACUCUCAGCCUUGUCCUCUGACCUCCACACCUGCGCUAUGGCACACACACCUGUCCUAUCGCACACAUGAUACACACACAGUAUGUUUUCAUUGAAAAGCGUAUGCAUGCCGGGCUGUGGUGGCGCACAUCUUUAAUCUCGGCUCUCUGGAAGCAGAGUGUUGUUAUAAAUGAAAAUGAAAGUCCCAAGGGUUCUAUUUUACCAAGAAGGACUCUGGAGCCAGAUGCUGGGGUGAAAACCUGCUAGCUCGGAGAAGCAGAGAAAGUAACCAGCUGACCUUCCUUCUCAGCUCAGGUCUGGAUAAAAAAAACCCAAAAGGCUCACUAGCUCAGCUGUCAUCCCUGGAGGAAAAGGCCAAAAAACCUAAGGCCAAAGGCUUUCUAGCUCAAAGUCCCAAAAGCCAGGAAACUGAGGAGCUGAAGCCGAAGCAAAAGCCAGAGCUUAAGCUAAAAGCCUUUUCUACUUCUCCGAGCUGUCUUAAACACCCCUCAACUCAAAGUCCCUUCUACUCUUUAAUCCCUGUCAGCUGAUUUCUUGCUCAGCUUCUUGACCUAGGGUUAACUUUUUUAAGUCCUAUGUACAGAGAGCUCCUGGAUUAAAGGUGUGUGAGAGAGAGCUGAGUGAACCACACCAUAAUCACCUGUUUACAAUAAAUGGAAAGUUCUUGAAUUAAAGGUGCGUGAUAAGGCUGAUAUCAAACCAAGCAAGAAACAGGGCUUUGCAGUUCACAGUUUGGGGGUUCAAAAUGGGAUAAAAUAUCCUGCAACAGUAGAGGCAGGCUGAUCACUGAGACUGAGGCCAGCCUGGUCUAGAGAGUGAGUUCCAAGACAGCCAGGGCUACACAGAGAAACUCAGUAUGGGGGGGCGGGAUGCAUUUAAAUGGCUGGAGAGAUAGCUUAACAGUUAAGAGUAUGUAUUGCUCUUGCAGAGGCUGAGAGCUCAGGCCUCAGCACCCACAUCAGGUGGCUGACAAGCACCUGUAACUCAGCUCUAGAAGAGCCGGCCCCCACUUCUGAAGACUGAGGGAGCCUGCAUUCACGUGCACAUCACUCCUACACGUAUGCACGUAACUCGGAGUAACACAGAUAAACCCUUUCAAAAGGCAUUUCGUGUAUUUAAGCUGUUUCCCAUCCUAGCUCAGCAACAGCAUUCACAGUCAGCUGAUGGGUGGAAGCUGAACCAGCCAGGGCAUAGGGCAGGA
Molecule: long non-coding RNA, 3148 nt
Organism: Meriones unguiculatus (Mongolian gerbil)
Lineage: Eukaryota; Metazoa; Chordata; Mammalia; Rodentia; Muridae
Exons: 2
Source: RefSeq, a predicted model, not a curated record